UGAAAUGUUUUCAUUUCUAGUUAGUUCAUUACUUAUACACUAAAUUGUUGUGUAGCCUUCAAAAGCCUUCAAAUGCAAAAGGUAAGAUUGCAGGCUUUCAGAGAUUCAGAGAAUGGAUGAUUGGCUUCCUUUAACCAGAUUUAAAAUGUACCCAGCCUUUGCAAGUCAGGCACAUGUAUUGAUUUAAUAAUUAAAUGCCAUAUUCUCAUUCCCUGUUCUACCCAUGCAUUUUUCCUCAGGCGGUGAAUAUGAAUGUUGAAGAAUUUGAGAGUCUAGACUUCAGUGGGUAGUCAAAGUUGGUAAAAGAAAUGCACUUCAUGUCAUGCCAAAACAAUUCUAAAAGCAUUUGCAGUUCUCGUAAUUGAGAGUUUAGCAAGACACACGAUCCUCACUGGAUUCCUCAAAUGUCAUAGAGUUUUUUAAAGGACAAAGGAACAGAGUUGGAUACUAAGCACAAGAAGAACAAAGCAAAGUGAGCUAUACCUCCUGUCUUAAGAGGACUCCUGCUCUAGUGAGUGAGAAAAAUUGUUAACUAUACCAAGAUGAAGGAACUAGGAUAACAAGAAGGCGAAGUGCUUUGUCAAAGCCUGCACAACAAAUCAGCAGCAGAUUCAAUACAGGACACCCUAGGUGGUACAUGGAUGACAACAUCUGCCUGAAGAUCAUAGAAAACAAAACUGAAUUGUCAUGAAAUCAAUAGUCAAUAAAUCAAUGAAAAUAAGGAGAAAGUAAACUGAAAGAGAAAGAAUGGCUUCCAAUCCAA
Manis pentadactyla (Chinese pangolin) is the source of this 763-nucleotide long non-coding RNA. RefSeq lists it as uncharacterized. NCBI's taxonomy places the organism in Eukaryota, Metazoa, Chordata, Mammalia, Pholidota, Manidae. The transcript has 3 exons. The record is from RefSeq and is a predicted model, not a curated record.